Molecule: small RNA, 162 nt
Filed under: Gopherus agassizii (Agassiz's desert tortoise)
Lineage: Eukaryota; Metazoa; Chordata; Testudines; Testudinidae
Description: TUC338 (ENSGAGG00000014687.1)
Source: RNAcentral
CUGACAGCCCUAGAGAGCAACAUCCUCUCUCCAGAGAGAGAACACAGGAUGAGCAGCAACAGGACAACAUUUCCUCCCACUGUGCCUCAACCCUUACCUGGAGGGAACAUCCCUAGGCCAAAGUGAGCUCAGUCACCAGGAUCCAGUCAGUUAAGGCCUCUU